This 377-nucleotide long non-coding RNA is filed under the name Mytilus galloprovincialis (Mediterranean mussel). Lineage: Eukaryota; Metazoa; Mollusca; Bivalvia; Mytilida; Mytilidae. The record is from RNAcentral.
GCAUCGAUAAUGUUCAGCAAGACAAAUUCUAUGUAAAUUACUAUUUAUGGCUAUGGUCAAUUUUAAUCCAUCAGUUUUGGAAAAGUACGCUAAUCAUCAGAAUCAGAUUCAUUUUUGUCACAUUUCAAAUCGUCUUGUUGGUAUCACUUGUUAAAUUUUAUUAUGACUUGAAUCUUCAAUUAAGGUGGUACCUAACACUAUGGGGACAUAACUCUGUAAAUCAGCUAAACGUUUUAAUUACGUUGUAUUGUUUAAGAAAUAUAAAGCUUCUCGAUGAUCAAAAUAGGUGUUUGUCAAACUGUUAUAUAUCCUAUGAAAUUUUUCCGAGAAAGUGUGUGGUUCAAGUUUUUAUAUUUUUGUUCUAGGGUCAAGAUAAA